ACCUUCGUGGUGUAGUGGUCAGCACGCUCGGCGCCCAUUCGAGAGGUCCGUGGUUCGAGUCCUGGUAAGGGCA
Stegodyphus mimosarum is the source of this 73-nucleotide non-coding RNA. Lineage: Eukaryota; Metazoa; Arthropoda; Arachnida; Araneae; Eresidae. The record is from Rfam.